This 1631-nucleotide long non-coding RNA is filed under the name Homo sapiens (human). RNAcentral describes it as "HSALNT0394232". The record is from RNAcentral. Lineage: Eukaryota; Metazoa; Chordata; Mammalia; Primates; Hominidae.
AAUUGAGAUAGUAAUAGUAUUCACCUCACUGAGUGCUGCGGUUUGGUGCCUGGCACAUAAUAGGGACUUCAUAGACAGUUGUUACUAUUAUUACCUCUUCCCCCACAUUUGGGGUUUGGCAGAGGGAUGUAUUGGCUACAUGGUCAUUAAGGAUCUGUUAAGCACCUCCUAUGCACGAGGGAGAUCACAUGGUAUGGUCCAAGAGUCUUGGAGUUAGAUGUGGGGUUGAAUCCUGGCCCUGUCACUUCAUAGCUGUGUGUGACCUUGUAAAAUUCUGUCUCCUCUCUGAGCUGAAGUUCCCCCACAGGAAAAUAGGGACCGUAAUGCCCAUCUUCCGGGGCCAAUGCUGGAUUCAAUGAGAUAAUGUACAGGGAGUGCCCAGGGCAGUUCUCAGCACACAAUAGUGCCUCUCAGUAAAUAAGAGACGCAGGAUGGAGAGGACAGGCUCAGUUUCUGCUACAGAAGAGCUCUGGGCAGAGCAGCUCAGAACACUUAUCACACCUUUCUCCUUGACCCUCACCUCUCUGGAAGAUUAGAAGCAGAAGAUUUAUUGGAUCAACUUCUCAGCUGUGGAAUCUGAGCAAACAGAAGGGAAGUGGCUGAGGGAGGCCUCAGACCAGCUGUAUCCCUGGACCAGAGGUCACAGCGCUGGCUAAGGAAACCUUCCAUGCAGGAGUGCUGUGAGCUGAGCAGUGCAUAAGAAAAGAGUGUUUGUGGGAAUCAGCAUUUUACCACCUGGCAGACCUGCCUGGGCUGUAGCAGAGCCUCCCCACUCAGUGGACAAGGGACAGGAGGGAUCAAAGGUUGAGGAAAGAUAUUAUUUCAAUCAAGAUAAUGAUUCUACUUCUUGAACGGAAAUGAGAUUUUUUUUCAUUGCCUCAUGGGGGUGCCACCAACAUCUGUCUCCGGGCUGGAACAGGUCAUGAACAAGUUAGAGGAUUUUCUUGUAACCUGAGAGAGAGUGUAAACAUGAAGGAGAACUGAAAGAAGGGAGCUUGCUUGCAAGAGAAAAACAUAUCUGCCAGGCCUCCACGAUUAUAAAAUAAGCUCAAUUUGGAAAAUGUACACUGGCAUUGAACAGAGCAUUCAAGACCGAACUUCAGAAGGUAAGUGUCCGGUGUGAGCCCUACAGCCUGGAAUUCAAGUGAGGUAAAUGGCCUAAAAAUGCCAUGAUAAUACCAAAGAUGCACAGAGGAGACUCAGCUAUGACAGGACCUUAGACGUCUUCUAAGCCUGUUGUCAGGCAGUGUGGAUCAGCUGUGUAACUGUGCUGACGGAUGACCUAGCUCCUGUUUCAGCCCCUUCUACCAGAGGGGGCUCGCCACCAAAAGAACCCAUUCCAUCUUGGACCAGAUCCUGUGUUGAGGAAGUACCUCCAAAUUAUAGUCAAGUCACUGAAUAAAAGGAAACCACAGUGAAAACUCACACGGUGCUGACAAUGCAGGAAAUCUAAAUGCACUUUGGAAACAGAAUACACAAUAUGCAAAUGACAUCAGAUAAUAAAUGCAGGGAGACCUCAAUGAUUUGCACUAAAUAGUGAAGUUAGUGAAAUUUUAAAUUAUUUUAAAUAUUUGGGAAUUCCAGGGGCUGUCAUGCGGUAUCUCAAAUAAUUUGCUUUAAAUAAUAAUUUA